RNAcentral lists this ribosomal RNA (492 nucleotides) under uncultured bacterium. RNAcentral's name for it is "partial 16S ribosomal RNA". It matches the Rfam family "Bacterial small subunit ribosomal RNA", at positions 355 to 856 of the family's 1533-position model. The record is from RNAcentral.
UGGGGAAUAUUGCACAAUGGGCGAAAGCCUGAUGCAGCGACGCCGCGUGCGGGAUGAAGGCCUUCGGGUUGUAAACCGCUUUUGAUUGGGGAGCAAGCGAGAGUGAGUGUACCUUUCGAAUAAGCACCGGCUAACUACGUGCCAGCAGCCGCGGUAAUACGUAGGGUGCAAGCGUUAUCCGGAAUUAUUGGGCGUAAAGAGCUCGUAGGCGGUUUGUCGCGUCUGGUGUGAAAGUCCAUCGCUUAACGGUGGAUCUGCGCCGGGUACGGGCAGGCUAGAGUGCGACAGGGGAGACUGGAAUUCCCGGUGUAACGGUGGAAUGUGUAGAUAUCGGGAAGAACACCAAUGGCGAAGGCAGGUCUCUGGGUCGUCACUGACGCUGAGGAGCGAAAGCGUGGGGAGCGAACAGGAUUAGAUACCCUGGUAGUCCACGCCGUAAACGGUGGAUGCUGGAUGUGGGGCCCAUUCCACGGGUUCCGUGUCGGAGCUAAC